CCUGGCUCUAUGUCUUCUGAGCUAUAUGACCAGGGCCCCCUCAUCUGAAAGCCAGUGAUAAUAUCUAGCCUGCAAAAUUGUCGAGGCAAUUUAAAGCAAUAUAUGUGAAGUGCCUGGCACACAGGAAGAACUCAGGAGAUGGUAGCUGGUAGCAAGGCUGUAGAUCUAAGCCUGGUCCCCUCAAAACACCUUUGUGAUUGUCAGGCAUCAUAUGGAUGAUCAAACAAGUUCGGGGAACUCAUUUUCCCAUGGUCCCUAAGUAGUCGAAGUGGGGUACCUCCAGGUGCAAGGGCAUAUGCCUAGGGCUUAAAGGCAGUGACUGCGCAGUCAGACAAGCCUUGCAUCAAAUCAUAAUUCUGGCAAUCGCUGUGUGACCUAAGGCAAGUUACUUCACCUCUCUGUGCCUCUGUUUCCUCAUCUAUAAAACAGAUGUACUGUUUCUGUCUCCUCUACCACCUCUUAAAUCAACAAUUGUAACGUGCAAAUCUGAGACCCAAUCAUUUCUAUUCCCCACCUUCUCAACGGGCACACCAUGUUGAAGACUUUCAGAAGACAGCUUUGAAGGGAGUAUCAUUUUUCUAACUUUUUUUGUGCUUCUACUUUCAAGAUUUCCAUGUCAUUAGAUGCAAGUCAAUCAAAUGAUCAUACAUUUUCCUACAAAUGCAUUGUAAACAAAAUAAAAAUUUUAUCCCAAAGGGAAAAUGAAAAAGAAAAUUCAACAACUCUUUACCCCUGUAACUUCCUUUAUUUUUCUCCAUAGCACUGACAAUAUAUAUAGAUUUCAAUGUUGGGCUUGUUUUCUGCCCGGACCAGGAUGUAAGCUCCAUGAAGACAGUCUCAAUUUUGUUCACUACCGCAUCAUCAGUUCCUAGAACAGAGCCUGGCACCUCUGCAGAAUGUUAAAUGGCUCUUCGUGAAUCAACUCCAGGAUUCCCAUUGGUGGUUUGAGGAAUUUUCUUAACACACCAACGACCACACGAUAGUGAUGAUAUUGGCAAUUAUGGCCAUGGUGACUAUGAUCCCAAAAGAAAAGAAGACGAUGCCAAAGGCCGGUGGGUCACGACUUCGUUUUAAGGCUCAUUAUCACGGGAAGGCGUCCUCUUCCUUGGAAAUCUAAAUGCAGAACACCCAGCCAUCUUCAGGAAGCCUGUGUGUGCCAAGUCAGGCAGGGCAAAACCUUAUACCUGCAUGUUUUCCUAAUGUGAGAGACUGCUCUGUAAAUUUCUUUCUAGUGCUCAGUCGAGUUAAUAUGGAAUUUGCAUAAGCACUUGGCAAGAAAUAACGUAUGUCUCUGUAAUAUUUCCGAGGCAGUAUUUUCUCCUCCAAACCCUGACCUCUGUAGGAACGGGACUUAACAUUUGCCUCCCAAAUGCAGAGUAGGGCUGUAUUUAACUUACCCAGUGAAGUCUCCCCUAAGCACUCAGGGGACUCAAACCACAGAAACCAACAUUUGGUCUCUUUGAAUUAAGUCUUUUCAUAUAAUUGAAGCAGCCCAAGAAACCUCCCAGAAAAUGUUUCGGAACACAAAUGUGGAAUGGGGCAUCCAAUUAACAGCAAUAACAUUUUGUUCAAAAAUAACUUUUGCAGACAUAUUGCGAUGUCCAAAACAGAACUGCCCAUUGCUGGCCUCCAAACCACUCUGCUCCUCCCACAAGUGUUCUCCUAUCUUAGUAAAUGGCACCACCAAUCUCCCAGUUGCUAGGGCCUAAACCUUGGAGGCAGAAGUUCCCCCCUCCCCUGGUCUCACUCACUCCAUUACCAAAUCCUGAGAACUGUGUCUCCUAAAGUCUUGAAUGUGUACACUCAUCCCUGCCCUGAAUAACUGCACAACAGCCUCCUCCAGCCCGUUUUUUUUACCCAGCAACCACGGGAAGCUUCUUAAAAAGUAAAUCAGAUCAUGUUGUUCCCUUGCUUAAAACCCUCUAGUCUCAUGUCCCAGGCCUUCCAUCUCACUCACAGUAAAUCCAAAUUUCUGUUCAUGGUCUACACAGCCCCACAUGAUCUGAUCAGGCCCCUGCCUCCCUAUUUAAUUCUUCAACUCAUUCCAGCUUCCCUUCUACACUGCCUCCCGCCCCACAACCGUCACCUCCCUGACCCCACCACUCCACCUGUCUGGAAUAACUUCCCUUCCUUCCUUCACCUGGCCGUUCCCAGUUUAUCCCUCAUGCCAUAAAAGAACAUACUGUUCCCAGCCUAGGAAAGGCUCAGGACCCAUGCCUUCUACCCUCACAGACCCUAUGCUGAGUCCACCUUAACACUGAGCUUUGAAUCCAGAUGUGAGUUCAACUUGCUUUGCAAUUUGCUGUCUCCUCACACUGGUCCUGUUUCUCAACCCUAGCAGCAUGACAGAAUCUUUGAGGAAGCUUUUUUUUUUUUUUUUUUCAUUUAAAUUGAGGUAAAAUUCAUAUAAUAUAAAAUUAACCUUUAAAUGUGUACAAUUUAGUGGCAUUUACUACAUUUGCAAUAUUGUGCAACUAUCACCUCCAUCUAGUUCUAGAACAUUCCCAUCACCCCAAAAGGAAAUCCCAGACGCAUUAAGCAGUCACUCCCCAUUAGCCCUCCCCCAGCCCCGGGCAACCACUAAUCUUUCUGUCUUUAUGGAUUUUGCCUAUUGUGGACAUUUUGUAUAAAUGGAACCAUACACUAUGUGGCCUUUUGUGUCUGGCUUCUUUUGCUGAGCGUAAUGUUUUUGAGGCUCGUUCAUGUUCUACUAUGUAUCAGAAUUUCAUGUCUUUUAUGGCUGAAUACUAUUCAAUUGUAUAAUAAUACCACAUUUUGUUGAUCCAUUCAUCAGUAGACAGAUAUUUGGGUUGUUUCCAAUUUGGGGCUAUUGUGAGCAAUGCUGCUAUGAACACGGAUGUACAUACAAGCUUUUUGGUGGACAUGUGUUUUUAUUUCUCUCGGGUAUACACAUGAAUUGCUGGGUAUCAGGGAAGCUUUGAAAACCACGUUUGCCAGGGCUCUACUCUCCAAGUUUUCAAUGUACUUGGCCUGAGGUAGGAUAAGGCAUUCCUAUCCAUCUAAAAGCUGAGACCAUGGCUGGGCAAACUAAGGCCAGUGGGCCAAGUCCCGCCCACUGCCUGUUUUCAUGUGACCCCUAAACAAAGAACGGUUGAGAAAAAUAAAAACGAAGAAUAUUUUGUGA
This 3145-nucleotide long non-coding RNA is filed under the name Homo sapiens (human). Its description in RNAcentral is "HSALNT0287364". Lineage: Eukaryota; Metazoa; Chordata; Mammalia; Primates; Hominidae. The record is from RNAcentral.